This 550-nucleotide ribosomal RNA is filed under the name bacterium BaA1-6. Its description in RNAcentral is "bacterial SSU rRNA". It matches the Rfam family "Bacterial small subunit ribosomal RNA", at positions 92 to 628 of the family's 1533-position model. The record is from RNAcentral.
UUAGCGGCGGACGGGUGAGUAACACGUGGGCAACCUACCUUAUAGUUUGGGAUAACUCCGGGAAACCGGGGCUAAUACCGAAUAAUCUGUUUCACCUCAUGGUGAAAUAUUGAAAGACGGUUUCGGCUGUCGCUAUAGGAUGGGCCCGCGGCGCAUUAGCUAGUUGGUGAGGUAACGGCUCACCAAGGCGACGAUGCGUAGCCGACCUGAGAGGGUGAUCGGCCACACUGGGACUGAGACACGGCCCAGACUCCUACGGGAGGCAGCAGUAGGGAAUCUUCCACAAUGGGCGAAAGCCUGAUGGAGCAACGCCGCGUGAGUGAAGAAGGAUUUCGGUUCGUAAAACUCUGUUGUAAGGGAAGAACAAGUACAGUAUUAACUGGCUGUACCUUGACGGUACCUUAUUAGAAAGCCACGGCUAACUACGUGCCAGCAGCCGCGGUAAUACGUAGGUGGCAAGCGUUGUCCGGAAUUAUUGGGCGUAAAGCGCGCGCAGGUGGUUUCUUAAGUCUGAUGUGAAAGCCCACGGCUCAACCGUGGAGGGUCAUUG